This 253-nucleotide ribosomal RNA is filed under the name uncultured bacterium. RNAcentral's name for it is "partial 16S ribosomal RNA". It matches the Rfam family "Bacterial small subunit ribosomal RNA", at positions 524 to 776 of the family's 1533-position model. The record is from RNAcentral.
UACAGGGGGUGCUAGCGUUGUUCGGAAUGACUGGGCGUAAAGGGUGCGUAGGCGGCUUUGUAAGUAGGAUGUGAAAUCCCCGGGCUUAACCCGGGAACUGCAUUCUAUACUGCAAGGCUAGAGAUCGAUAGAGGAAACAGGAAUUCCUAGUGUAGGGGUAAUAUCCAUAGAUAUUAGGAGGAACACCAGUGGCGAAGGCGAGUUUCUGGGUCGAUACUGACGCUGAGGCACGAAAGCGUGGGGAGCAAACAGG